UACAGAGGUCCCAAGCGUUGUUCGGAUUCACUGGGCGUAAAGGGUGCGUAGGCGGUUGGGUAAGUUUGACGUGAAAUCUCCGGGCCUAACCCGGAAACUGCGUUGAAUACUAUCCAGCUAGAGGAUUGGAGGGGAGACUGGAAUACUUGGUGUAGCAGUGAAAUGCGUAGAUAUCAAGUGGAACACCAGUGGCGAAGGCGAGUCUCUGGACAAUUCCUGACGCUGAGGCACGAAAGCCAGGGGAGCAAACGGG
This 253-nucleotide ribosomal RNA is filed under the name uncultured bacterium. Its description in RNAcentral is "partial 16S ribosomal RNA". It matches the Rfam family "Bacterial small subunit ribosomal RNA", at positions 524 to 776 of the family's 1533-position model. The record is from RNAcentral.